Molecule: microRNA, 25 nt
Filed under: Bombyx mori (domestic silkworm)
Lineage: Eukaryota; Metazoa; Arthropoda; Insecta; Lepidoptera; Bombycidae
Description: bmo-miR-3297-5p
Source: miRBase by way of RNAcentral
GCACAUCUAGUCAAAAAUAUUGGAG